RNAcentral lists this ribosomal RNA (277 nucleotides) under uncultured rumen bacterium. RNAcentral's name for it is "partial 16S ribosomal RNA". It matches the Rfam family "Bacterial small subunit ribosomal RNA", at positions 511 to 788 of the family's 1533-position model. The record is from RNAcentral.
GCAGCCGCGGUAAUACGGAGGAUGCGAGCGUUAUCCGGAUUUAUUGGGUUUAAAGGGUGCGUAGGCGGUUUAUCAAGUCAGCGGUUAAAUGUCCGGGCUCAACCCUGGCCUGCCGUUGAAACUGAUGAACUGGAGAUAGUGUGGAGUAUGCGGAAUGCGCAGUGUAGCGGUGAAAUGCAUAGAUAUUGCGCAGAACUCCGAUCGCGAAGGCAGCAUACUAACACUAGUCUGACGCUGAGGCACGAAAGCGCGGGUAUCGAACAGGAUUAGAUACCCC